CAGGUCAGAAGCUUCCCUCAACUAUGCCAGCCAUUGGUUGGCAAGGGCUCUAUCUUCUAGUUCCAUAGUCUAAGAAGGAAGCAAGACCGAUGUGGGAAAAAAAAUCCUGGGAAGAAGUAGAUGAAAUUCCAGAAGGGGAAAGAUUCUAGGCUCAUUGUCACAGAGAUACAAAUUCUCAUGUUAGACAUCAGAACUUCCAGAUCUUUGUACCUGUACUUGGAUCCUCAGGCUCUCAGACCUCCAGACUUGGACCAUGCCAUGUUACAGCAAGACAGAGUCUACAGAUUGCAAACAACCCCUCAUGGCCCUCUUAUCAUCAUAAUCAACUGUGCCAACUUCUGUAAUUCGCCUGUGUUCAAACAUCUAUAACUACAUUGGUUCCGGCAUGCUGAAAACCCUAAAGCAAUUUUCUAUAAAACAUAGUCUUUCAUAUCAGAGUACUCUAACCCCUGGCUUUCCCAUGGCAUUGAAUGACACAAACUUUAUUUAAUGAUAAUAUAAGAACCAAAGAAUUUGAUGAGUCUUAGUAUACACAUGUAGUAAAAAAGGACAGGUAAAUGCCAUCAGAAAAAAAUACAUAUUUUACUGAAACAUUAAUUUGACAGAUAAAUUUACAUGCCAACCUUUGAUAGAAUGCCAAUCUUCUGCUACCAUCUUCUACUCCCCUCCCCUAACAUAAACAAACAAACAGUGGUUUUCCUAUUGGCAGAAGACUUACCUUUAUUUUUGGAGAAAAACUAGACAGCCUGCUAAGGACAGAGACUCAGUAUUCUCCCUGGAAUUAUUACCCUGAGUAAGUUGUACAGUAUACUAUAUCAACUAGAUUCACCAGAUACUGAAUGACCCAACUCUCUUUCUGUUGGUGCUAUCGGCACAUUAUUUG
Molecule: long non-coding RNA, 883 nt
Organism: Alexandromys fortis (reed vole)
Lineage: Eukaryota; Metazoa; Chordata; Mammalia; Rodentia; Cricetidae
Exons: 3
Source: RefSeq, a predicted model, not a curated record